UACGUAGGGUGCAAACGUUGCUCGGAAUUAUUGGGCGUAAAGCGCACGUAGGCGGCAUUGCAAGUCGGAUGUGAAAUCCCUCGGCUUAACCAAGGAAGUGCAUCCGAAACUGCAGUGCUUGAGUACUUAAGAGGAUCGCGGAAUUCCCGGUGUAGAGGUGAAAUUCGUAGAUAUCGGGAGGAACACCAGUGGCGAAGGCGGCGAUCUGGGAAGAUACUGACGCUGAGGUGCGAAAGCGUGGGGAGCAAACAGG
RNAcentral lists this ribosomal RNA (253 nucleotides) under uncultured bacterium. Its description in RNAcentral is "partial 16S ribosomal RNA". It matches the Rfam family "Bacterial small subunit ribosomal RNA", at positions 524 to 776 of the family's 1533-position model. The record is from RNAcentral.